UCAGGCUUACACAUGCAAGUCGAGGGGCAGCAUGGUCUUAGCUUGCUAAGGCCGAUGGCGACCGGCGCACGGGUGAGUAACACGUAUCCAACCUGCCGUCUACUCUUGGACAGCCUUCUGAAAGGAAGAUUAAUACAAGAUGGCAUCAUGAGUCCGCAUGUUCACAUGAUUAAAGGUAUUCCGGUAGACGAUGGGGAUGCGUUCCAUUAGAUAGUAGGCGGGGUAACGGCCCACCUAGUCUUCGAUGGAUAGGGGUUCUGAGAGGAAGGUCCCCCACAUUGGAACUGAGACACGGUCCAAACUCCUACGGGAGGCAGCAGUGAGGAAUAUUGGUCAAUGGGCGAGAGCCUGAACCAGCCAAGUAGCGUGAAGGAUGACUGCCCUAUGGGUUGUAAACUUCUUUUAUAAAGGAAUAAAGUCGGGUAUGGAUACCCGUUUGCAUGUACUUUAUGAAUAAGGAUCGGCUAACUCCGUGCCAGCAGCCGCGGUAAUACGGAGGAUCCGAGCGUUAUCCGGAUUUAUUGGGUUUAAAGGGAGCGUAGAUGGAUGUUUAAGUCAGUUGUGAAAGUUUGCGGCUCAACCGUAAAAUUGCAGUUGAUACUGGAUAUCUUGAGUGCAGUUGAGGCAGGCGGAAUUCGUGGUGUAGCGGUGAAAUGCUUAGAUAUCACGAAGAACUCCGAUUGCGAAGGCAGCCUGCUAAGCUGCAACUGACAUUGAGGCUCGAAAGUGUGG
RNAcentral lists this ribosomal RNA (732 nucleotides) under Bacteroides sp. ES-24. RNAcentral's name for it is "bacterial SSU rRNA". It matches the Rfam family "Bacterial small subunit ribosomal RNA", at positions 42 to 764 of the family's 1533-position model. Lineage: Bacteria; Pseudomonadati; Bacteroidota; Bacteroidia; Bacteroidales; Bacteroidaceae. The record is from RNAcentral.